UACGUAGGUGGCGAGCGUUAUCCGGAAUUAUUGGGCGUAAAGAGCGCGCAGGUGGUUGAUUAAGUCUGAUGUGAAAGCCCACGGCUUAACUGUGGAGGGUCAUUGGAAACUGGUCGACUUGAGUGCAGAAGAGGGAAGUGGAAUUCCAUGUGUAGCGGUGAAAUGCGUAGAGAUAUGGAGGAACACCAGUGGCGAAGGCGGCUUCCUGGUCUGUAACUGACACUGAGGCGCGAAAGCGUGGGGAGCAAACAGGAUUAGA
RNAcentral lists this ribosomal RNA (259 nucleotides) under uncultured prokaryote. RNAcentral's name for it is "partial 16S ribosomal RNA". It matches the Rfam family "Bacterial small subunit ribosomal RNA", at positions 524 to 782 of the family's 1533-position model. The record is from RNAcentral.